GACGAACGCCGGCGGCGUGCUUAACACAUGCAAGUCGAACGGAAAGGCCCUGCUUUUGUGGGGUGCUCGAGUGGCGAACGGGUGAGUAACACGUGAGUAACCUGCCCUUGACUUUGGGAUAACUUCAGGAAACUGGGGCUAAUACCGGAUAGGAGCUCCUGCUGCAUGGUGGGGGUUGGAAAGUUUCGGCGGUUGGGGGUGGACUCGCGGCUUAUCAGCUUGUUGGUGGGGUAGUGGCUUACCAAGGCUUUGACGGGUAGCCGGCCUGAGAGGGUGACCGGCCACAUUGGGACUGAGAUACGGCCCAGACUCCUACGGGAGGCAGCAGUGGGGAAUAUUGCACAAUGGGCGGAAGCCUGAUGCAGCAACGCCGCGUGCGGGAUGACGGCCUUCGGGUUGUAAACCGCCUUCGCCUGUGACGAAGCGUGAGUGACGGUAAUGGGUAAAGAAGCACCGGCUAACUACGUG
This 468-nucleotide ribosomal RNA is filed under the name uncultured bacterium. Its description in RNAcentral is "partial 16S ribosomal RNA". It matches the Rfam family "Bacterial small subunit ribosomal RNA", at positions 28 to 507 of the family's 1533-position model. The record is from RNAcentral.